Suricata suricatta (meerkat) is the source of this 544-nucleotide long non-coding RNA. RefSeq lists it as uncharacterized. The transcript is spliced from 2 exons. Lineage: Eukaryota; Metazoa; Chordata; Mammalia; Carnivora; Herpestidae. The record is from RefSeq and is a predicted model, not a curated record.
UGCUGGCUAUUCUGAGAACAUCCUAAGGUCUUCAUCACCUCAGGACCUUUGCACAUGAUAUGUCAGCUUUAAUGUGCCUCCCCUGGCUCUGCACAACAGAUGACUUCUCGUUCAUCAGAUCCAGCUCUAAUCUCACCUUUGGAAGGACUUCCGGAAUCAUCCAAGUCACAACCCAGCUCAGAGGAAGGCCAGAUGUCCUAUUGUGAGGUGCUUUGUGGAAAUGCCACAUGGCAAGGAUCUGGGGACAGCCUCCAGCCAACAGCCAGAGAAAAACCAAGGUGCUCAGUCCAACAGCCCUCGAGGUACCGAAUCCUGUGAACAGCUGCACGAAUGAACUUGGAAAUGGGUCCUCCCCAGGCCACCCUUGAGAUGACCACAGUUCAGACCAACCCCAUGGUUGCUGCCUUGUGGGUGAUCCUGAGCCAGAGACCCCAGUGAAGCCAUGCUUAGAUCUCUGUCCUACAGAGACUUUGGGAUAAUAGAUGUUUGGUUUUCUAAGCCAUUGGGUUUUGGAGCAAUGUGUCAAUAAACAACUAACACAGGG